GAUGAACGCUGGCGGCGUGCCUAAUACAUGCAAGUCGAGCGAACGGACGAGAAGCUUGCUUCUUUGAUGUUAGCGGCGGACGGGUGAGUAACACGUGGAUAACCUCCCUAUAAGUCUGGGAUCACUUCGGGACACCGGAGCUAAUACCGGAUAAUAUUUUGAACCGCAUGGUUCAAAAGUGAAAGACGGUCUUGCUGUCACUUAUAGAUGGAUCCGCGCUGCAUUAGCUAGUUGGUAAGGUAACGGCUUACCAAGGCAACGAUGCAUAGCCGACCUGAGAGGGUGAUCGGCCACACUGGAACGGGGACACGGUCAAGACGCCUAAGGGAGGCAGCAGUAGGGAAUGGUACGCAGUGGGCGAAAGCAUGGCGGAGCGACGCCGCGUGAGUGAUGAAGGUGCUCGGAGCGUGAAACUCUGUUAUGAGGGAAAAACAUAUGUGUAAGUAACUGUGCACAGCGUGACGGUACCGAAUCAGAAAGCAACGGCUAACUACGUG
RNAcentral lists this ribosomal RNA (497 nucleotides) under uncultured bacterium. RNAcentral describes it as "partial 16S ribosomal RNA". It matches the Rfam family "Bacterial small subunit ribosomal RNA", at positions 28 to 507 of the family's 1533-position model. The record is from RNAcentral.